Molecule: ribosomal RNA, 427 nt
Filed under: uncultured bacterium
Lineage: Bacteria
Description: bacterial SSU rRNA
Rfam family: Bacterial small subunit ribosomal RNA
Source: RNAcentral
UGGGGAAUAUUGGACAAUGGGGGCAACCCUGAUCCAGCAAUGCCGCGUGUGUGAAGAAGGCCUUCGGGUUGUAAAGCACUUUUAUCGGGAACGAAACAUUGUCGGCCAAUACCCGGCAAGACUGACGGUACCCGAGGAAUAAGCACCGGCUAACUCCGUGCCAGCAGCCGCGGUAAUACGGAGGGUGCAAGCGUUAAUCGGAAUUACUGGGCGUAAAGCGUGCGCAGGCGGUUUGUUAAGUCUGCUGUGAAAUCCCCGAGCUAAACUUGGGAAUUGCAGUGGAUACUGGCAAGCUGGAGUACGGUAGAGGAAGGUGGAAUUCCCGGUGUAGCAGUGAAAUGCGUAGAGAUCGGGAGGAACACCAGUGGCGAAGGCGGCCUUCUGGACCAGUACUGACGCUCAUGCACGAAAGCGUGGGGAGCAAACA